CGUCCUAUUAGCUAGUUGGUGAGGCAAUGGCUCACCAAGGCUACGAUGGGUAGGGGUUCUUAGUGGAAGAUCCCCCACACUGGCACUGAGAUACGGGCCAGACUCCUACGGGAGGCAGCAGUAGGGAAUAUUGGUCAAUGGGCGAAAGCCUGAACCAGCCAUGCCGCGUGCAGGAUGACAGCUCUCUGAGUUGUAAACUGCUUUUGUACAGGAGCAAAACAAUCCCUGCGGGGGUUCUUGAGAGUACUGUAAGAAUAAGCACCGGCUAAUUCCGUGCCAGCAGCCGCGGUAAUACGGAAGGUGCAAGCGUUAUCCGGUUUUAUUGGGUUUAAAGGGUGCGUAGGCGGCUUAUUAAGUCAGUUGUAAAAUCCUAGUGCUUAACGCUAGAACUGCAAUUGAUACUAUU
This 406-nucleotide ribosomal RNA is filed under the name Cardinium endosymbiont of Trialeurodes vaporariorum. RNAcentral's name for it is "bacterial SSU rRNA". It matches the Rfam family "Bacterial small subunit ribosomal RNA", at positions 234 to 637 of the family's 1533-position model. Lineage: Bacteria; Pseudomonadati; Bacteroidota; Cytophagia; Cytophagales; Amoebophilaceae. The record is from RNAcentral.